RNAcentral lists this unclassified non-coding RNA (274 nucleotides) under Oidiodendron sp. Its description in RNAcentral is "partial contains 5.8S ribosomal RNA, internal transcribed spacer 2, and large subunit ribosomal RNA". The stretch from base 1 to 71 matches the Rfam family "5.8S ribosomal RNA", at positions 84 to 154 of the family's 154-position model. Lineage: Eukaryota; Fungi; Ascomycota; Leotiomycetes; Myxotrichaceae. The record is from RNAcentral.
GUGAGUCAUCGAAUCUUUGAACGCACAUUGCGCCCCCUGGCACUCCGGGGGGCAUGCCUGUCCGAGCGUCAUUGCAACCCUCAAGCGCCGCUUGGUGUUGGGCGGCACCGCCCGCGGUGCGCCCCAAAGGCAGUGGCGGCGCCGCACGGCCCCGAGCGCAGUAACGCUCUCGCUCCGGGGACCGGCGCGCGCCCGCCAGCAACUCAACCCCACAGGUUGACCUCGGAUCAGGUAGGGAUACCCGCUGAACUUAAGCAUAUCAAUAAGCGGAGGA